This 259-nucleotide ribosomal RNA is filed under the name uncultured bacterium. Its description in RNAcentral is "partial small subunit ribosomal RNA". It matches the Rfam family "Bacterial small subunit ribosomal RNA", at positions 26 to 285 of the family's 1533-position model. The record is from RNAcentral.
AGAAUCAACGCUGGCGGCGUGCCUAACACAUGCAAGUCGAACGAGAAAGGGGAGCAAUCCCUGAGUAAAGUGGCGACCGGGUGAGUAACACGUGACUAACCUACCCUCGAGUGUGGAAUAACAUCGGGAAACCGAUGCUAAUACCGCAUAACAUCGGCGCUUUUAAGAGAUGCCGAUCAAAGGAGCAAUCCGCUUGAGGAGGGGUCGCGGCUGAUUAGCUAGUUGGCGGGGUAACGGCCCACCAAGGCGAAGAUCGGUA